This 373-nucleotide ribosomal RNA is filed under the name uncultured organism. Its description in RNAcentral is "partial 16S ribosomal RNA". It matches the Rfam family "Bacterial small subunit ribosomal RNA", at positions 527 to 896 of the family's 1533-position model. The record is from RNAcentral.
GUAGGGAGCAAGCGUUGUUCGGGAAUUAUGGGGGCGUAAAGAGCGCGUAGGCGGCCAGGUAAGUCUGAUGUGAAAUCCCACAGCUCAACUGUGGAACUGCAUUGGAAACUGCUUGGCUAGAGUGCGGGAGAGGAGAGUGGAAUUCCCAGUGUAGAGGUGAAAUUCGUAGAUAUUGGGAGGAACACCAGUGGCGAAGGCGGCUCUCUGGACCGCAACUGACGCUGAGGCGCGAAAGCUAGGGGAGCGAACGGGAUUAGAUACCCCGGUAGUCCUAGCCGUAAACGAUGGGCACUAGGUGUGGGAGGUAUCGACCCCUUCUGUGCCGUAGCUAACGCAUUAAGUGCCCCGCCUGGGGAGUACGGCCGCAAGACUA